AUUAGAUUAAAAACCAAUGCCCUUCGGGGCUCACUGGUGAUUCAUGAUAACUCCUCGAAUCGCAUGGCCUUGCGCCGGCGAUGGUUCAUUCAAAUUUCUGCCCUAUCAACUUUCGAUUGUAGGAUAGAGGCCUACAAUGGUUUCAACGGGUAACGGAGAAUUAGGGUUCGGUUCCGGAGAGGGAGCCUGAGAAACGGCUACCACAUCCAAGGAAGGCAGCAGGCGCGCAAAUUACCCAAUCCCGACACGGGAAGGUAGUGACAAUAAAUACUGAUACAGGGCUCUUUUGGGUCUUGUAAUUGGAAUGAGUACAAUUUAAAUCCCUUAACGAGGAACAAUUGGAGGGCAAGUCUGGUGCCAGCAGCCGCGGUAAUUCCAGCUCCAAUAGCGUAUAUUAAAGUUGUUGCAGUUAAAAAGCUCGUAGUUGAACCUUGGGUCUGGCUGGCCGGUCCGCCUCACCGCGUGCACUGGUCCGGCCGGACCUUUCCUCUUGGGGAUCCACAUGCCCUUUACUGGG
Molecule: ribosomal RNA, 517 nt
Filed under: uncultured fungus
Lineage: Eukaryota; Fungi
Description: SSU rRNA
Rfam family: Eukaryotic small subunit ribosomal RNA
Source: RNAcentral